Molecule: non-coding RNA, 32 nt
Filed under: Homo sapiens (human)
Lineage: Eukaryota; Metazoa; Chordata; Mammalia; Primates; Hominidae
Source: RNAcentral
UGGAUCUGCAGAAAUAACUGCCUGUGCAGUGU